This 1237-nucleotide ribosomal RNA is filed under the name metagenome. RNAcentral's name for it is "bacterial SSU rRNA". It matches the Rfam family "Bacterial small subunit ribosomal RNA", at positions 251 to 1498 of the family's 1533-position model. The record is from RNAcentral.
GGCGGGGUAACGGCCCACCAAGGCUACGACCAGUAGGGGUUCUGAGAGGAAGGUCCCCCACAUUGGGACUGAGACACGGUCCAAACUCCUACGGGAGGCAGCAGUGAGGAAUAUUGGUCAAUGGACGAGAGUCUGAACCAGCCAAGUAGCGUGCAGGAUGACGGCCCUAUGGGUUGUAAACUGCUUUUAUAAGGGAAUAAAGUGAGCCUCGUGAGGCUUUUUGCAUGUACCUUAUGAAUAAGGACCGGCUAAUUCCGUGCCAGCAGCCGCGGUAAUACGGAAGGUCCGGGCGUUAUCCGGAUUUAUUGGGUUUAAAGGGAGCGUAGGCCGGAGAUUAAGCGUGUUGUGAAAUGUAGACGCUCAACGUCUGCACUGCAGCGCGAACUGGUUUCCUUGAGUACGCACAAAGUGGGCGGAAUUCGUGGUGUAGCGGUGAAAUGCUUAGAUAUCACGAAGAACUCCGAUUGCGAAGGCAGCUCACUGGAGCGCAACUGACGCUGAAGCUCGAAAGUGCGGGUAUCGAACAGGAUUAGAUACCCUGGUAGUCCGCACGGUAAACGAUGGAUGCCCGCUGUUGGUCUGAAUAGGUCAGCGGCCAAGCGAAAGCAUUAAGCAUCCCACCUGGGGAGUACGCCGGCAACGGUGAAACUCAAAGGAAUUGACGGGGGCCCGCACAAGCGGAGGAACAUGUGGUUUAAUUCGAUGAUACGCGAGGAACCUUACCCGGGCUUGAAUUGCAGAGGAAGGAUUUGGAGACAAUGACGCCCUUCGGGGCCUCUGUGAAGGUGCUGCAUGGUUGUCGUCAGCUCGUGCCGUGAGGUGUCGGCUUAAGUGCCAUAACGAGCGCAACCCCUCUCCUUAGUUGCCAUCAGGUUAAGCUGGGCACUCUGGGGACACUGCCACCGUAAGGUGUGAGGAAGGUGGGGAUGACGUCAAAUCAGCACGGCCCUUACGUCCGGGGCUACACACGUGUUACAAUGGCAGGUACAGAGAGACGGUUGUACGUAAGUACGAUCAAAUCCUUAAAGCCUGUCUCAGUUCGGACUGGGGUCUGCAACCCGACCCCACGAAGCUGGAUUCGCUAGUAAUCGCGCAUCAGCCAUGGCGCGGUGAAUACGUUCCCGGGCCUUGUACACACCGCCCGUCAAGCCAUGAAAGCCGGGGGCGCCUAAAGUCCGUGACCGUAAGGAGCGGCCUAGGGCGAAACUGGUAAUUGGGGCUAAGUCGUAACAAGGUA